GUUAUUUUGGCAGACUAGUGCUAUUGAUUUAGAAUCUUUGUAUGUAAUUUAUAUUACAAAUAACA
This 65-nucleotide transfer RNA is filed under the name Olethrius laevipennis. RNAcentral's name for it is "tRNA-Leu". The record is from RNAcentral. Lineage: Eukaryota; Metazoa; Arthropoda; Insecta; Coleoptera; Cerambycidae.